GCAAGGAGGUCACACCUGUUCCCAUGCCGAACACAGAAGUUAAGCUCCUUAGCGUCGAUGGUAGUCGAACUUACGUUCCGCUAGAGUAGAAC
Molecule: ribosomal RNA, 92 nt
Filed under: Staphylococcus aureus
Lineage: Bacteria; Bacillati; Bacillota; Bacilli; Caryophanales; Staphylococcaceae
Source: RNAcentral